Molecule: small nuclear RNA, 107 nt
Filed under: Castor canadensis (American beaver)
Lineage: Eukaryota; Metazoa; Chordata; Mammalia; Rodentia; Castoridae
Source: RNAcentral
AUGCUUGUUUUGGCAGCACACUUACUAAAAUAGGUGUGAAACAGACAAGAUUAGCAUGGCCCUUGUGCAAGGAUGGCAUGCAAAUCUGUGGUGCUCUUAAAGAAAUA